CGAACUGACGAACCGUUCCUGUGCGAGGCAACCAUUCAUGUGCGGAGGCGGGAGCGACGGCGCUUGGUGCAGCCCGUGCUCCGCGUCGCCGUCGUGGCCCGCGGCCAAGGGUUGCCGUCGCGGCCCGCAGCCGAGCUCCACCUCGUCGUUGCGGCCAGCGAUCGUGCUCCUCCUCGGCGGUGCAGCUUGUAUUCCGCCUCGACCCCGAUGUUGCAUCGCCGCUGUACCAUGCGCUCCGUCUCACCGUCGCCACAUACCCAGGGGCAAAAAGGUCUGGGCCCACAUGCUGUCAAACGAAGCGCGAGCAAGCUGCUAUGCUAUUUUCAGCUUCACCAUGCGCUACCUGCUUGUCUCACCAGUUUUUCCAGAGUGGCUUUUGCUCGAACCCAUUUGGCUAAAACAGCUCAUGAAUCGGUUCAAUAAGCUGUACCGAACAGCCCCUUUGUAUUUGUACCUGCUUGUAUUUUAUCUUAAUUUUUUAAUAUAUAAUAAUAUAAUACCGUAGGUAUUAUGUUUUUCCUCU
This is a long non-coding RNA of Sorghum bicolor (sorghum), 523 nucleotides long. RefSeq lists it as uncharacterized. The record is from RefSeq and is a predicted model, not a curated record. The transcript is spliced from 2 exons. Lineage: Eukaryota; Viridiplantae; Streptophyta; Magnoliopsida; Poales; Poaceae.